Xiphophorus maculatus (southern platyfish) is the source of this 255-nucleotide long non-coding RNA. RefSeq lists it as uncharacterized. The record is from RefSeq and is a predicted model, not a curated record. The transcript has 3 exons. Lineage: Eukaryota; Metazoa; Chordata; Actinopteri; Cyprinodontiformes; Poeciliidae.
GAGGAUUUCAGUUCAACACCUGUGGUUUCUUAAUUUUUCCACUUAGUUCCACUACUGCUGUGGAUUUUAUAGUCAAUGUUUAAAGCCAACAGAGUCUGAAACGAUGGAGGAAAUUUACGUCAAUAUGGAACCUGUUGGAAAAACUGCAUCUAAUCACACAGGUUGGAGCAGCUCCAAAGAGAGGCUCUGCCUCCGUGCGGCUGUCUGUUUGGGAAUCCUGAAUGUUUUACUUUUGGCUGAACUCAUCGCCCUCAG